UAAUUGAAGAGUUUGAUCAUGGCUCAGAUUGAACGCUGGCGGCAGGCUUAACACAUGCAAGUCGAGCGGUAGCACAGGGGAGCUUGCUCCCUGGGUGACGAGCGGCGGACGGGUGAGUAAUGUCUGGGAAACUGCCUGAUGGAGGGGGAUAACUACUGGAAACGGUAGC
RNAcentral lists this ribosomal RNA (169 nucleotides) under Serratia marcescens. RNAcentral describes it as "partial 16S ribosomal RNA". It matches the Rfam family "Bacterial small subunit ribosomal RNA", at positions 1 to 163 of the family's 1533-position model. RNAcentral also lists the same sequence under 2 other names. The record is from RNAcentral. Lineage: Bacteria; Pseudomonadati; Pseudomonadota; Gammaproteobacteria; Enterobacterales; Yersiniaceae.